CCCUUAGAUGUUCUGGGCCGCACGCGCGCUACACUGACGAAUGCAACGAGCUUAUAACCUUGGCCGAAAGGUCUGGGUAAUCUCCAAAUUUCGUCGUGAUGGGGAUAGAUUAUUGCAAUUAUUAAUCUUCAACGAGGAAUGCCUAGUAAGCGCAAGUCAUCAGCUUGCGUUGAUUACGUCCCUGCCCUUUGUACACACCGCCCGUCGCUCCUACCGAUUGAAGUUUUCGGUGAAUUUGCUGGAGGUUUGCUUUGAUACUGGUUCGCCAGUGGAUUUGUUUUUCAAAAGCAAAUGAAUCGAUGGCUUUAGAGGAAGGAGAAGUCGUANCA
This 329-nucleotide ribosomal RNA is filed under the name uncultured eukaryote. RNAcentral describes it as "partial 18S ribosomal RNA". It matches the Rfam family "Eukaryotic small subunit ribosomal RNA", at positions 1470 to 1796 of the family's 1831-position model. The record is from RNAcentral.